GGUCGAUGAUGAUUGGUAAAAGGUCUGAUUGCACUUGAUGCCACAGUCCCUUUCUUGCCCUCAGCUCCCAGCAGCCCAUUUUUUCCUCCUGUCACAUUUAAGUCGUGUGCAUGGGACAAAGGGGCGGCUGAUAAUUGGGAUUCUGUCAGGGUGUGCUUCUCAGAGUGGACAGUCACAGCUGACAACUAUCCUACAGAACCAGCCAUCAGGAGGUUGACGAGGGCAGCCAUGGGUGUGGCAGUGCAUGAUCUCAAGUUUUCAAUCUGAGACC
Molecule: non-coding RNA, 271 nt
Organism: Molossus molossus (Pallas's mastiff bat)
Lineage: Eukaryota; Metazoa; Chordata; Mammalia; Chiroptera; Molossidae
Product: small Cajal body-specific RNA 6
Exons: 1
Source: RefSeq, a predicted model, not a curated record